Molecule: ribosomal RNA, 253 nt
Filed under: uncultured bacterium
Lineage: Bacteria
Description: partial 16S ribosomal RNA
Rfam family: Bacterial small subunit ribosomal RNA
Source: RNAcentral
UACGUAGGGUGCGAGCGUUAAUCGGAAUUACUGGGCGUAAAGCGCACGUAGGCGGAUUUGUAAGUCAGGGGUGAAAUCCCGGGGCUCAACCUCGGAACUGCCUUUGAUACUGCAAAUCUCGAGUCCGGAAGAGGUGAGUGGAAUUCCUAGUGUAGAGGUGAAAUGCGUAGAUAUCGGGAGGAACAUCGAUGGCGAAAGCAACCGUCUGGGCCUGAACUGACACUGAGACACGAAAGCGUGGGGAGCAAACAGG